RNAcentral lists this ribosomal RNA (784 nucleotides) under uncultured organism. RNAcentral describes it as "SSU rRNA". It matches the Rfam family "Bacterial small subunit ribosomal RNA", at positions 692 to 1477 of the family's 1533-position model. The record is from RNAcentral.
AGAUAUUGGGAGGGAACACCAGUAGGGAAGGCGGCUUUCUGGACUGCAACUGACACUGAGGCACGAAAGCGUGGGUAGCAAACAGGAUUAGAUACCCUGGUAGUCCACGCUGUAAACGAUGAGUACUAGGUGUCGGGGGUUACCCCCCUCGGUGCCGCAGCUAACGCAUUAAGUACUCCGCCUGGGGAGUACGCACGCAAGUGUGAAACUCAAAGGAAUUGACGGGGACCCGCACAAGUAGCGGAGCAUGUGGUUUAAUUCGAAGCAACGCGAAGAACCUUACCUAAGCUUGACAUCCCUCGGACAGGUGUUUAAUCACACCCUUCCUUCGGGACUGAGGUGACAGGUGGUGCAUGGUUGUCGUCAGCUCGUGUCGUGAGAUGUUGGGUUAAGUCCCGCAACGAGCGCAACCCUUGUCUUUAGUUGCCAGCAUUCAGUUGGGCACUCUAGAGAGACUGCCAGGGAUAACCUGGAGGAAGGUGGGGAUGACGUCAAAUCAUCAUGCCCCUUAUGCUUAGGGCUACACACGUGCUACAAUGGGUGGUACAGAGGGUUGCCAAACCGUGAGGUGGAGCCAAUCCCUUAAAGCCAUUCUCAGUUCGGAUUGUAGGCUGAAACUCGCCUACAUGAAGCUGGAGUUACUAGUAAUCGCAGAUCAGAAUGCUGCGGUGAAUGCGUUCCCGGGUCUUGUACACACCGCCCGUCACACCACGGGAGUCGGAAACACCCGAAGCCGAUUAUCCAACCGCAAGGAGGAAGUCGUCGAAGGUGGCGUCGAAAACUG